Long non-coding RNA from Camelina sativa (false flax), 645 nucleotides. RefSeq lists it as uncharacterized. The record is from RefSeq and is a predicted model, not a curated record. NCBI's taxonomy places the organism in Eukaryota, Viridiplantae, Streptophyta, Magnoliopsida, Brassicales, Brassicaceae.
UUGUGUUGGGAUGGAUUUAUGUUUGGUUCCGUAUUAGUUCGGUUUAAAAAUCAAUUUAUGUAACAACGGAGGCGAAUGAAUGACUCGCCGUGUUUGGGGGAAUGAAUGACUCGCCGUGUCCCAUCGUGAUGCUUGAAUCGUCUCUGUGACAUGAAGCAAGGCGAUUUGAAUUUGGAGUCCACUCAAUCGGAAGAGAUUGAAUCAAUUGGAAUCAGUGGAGCUAGGAUCAAAGUUGUUGAUCCUUUUCCAGGUUGUAGCGAAAGGGUCAUAACUGCAGAAUUGCCGCUAAAGUCCAUGAUUCUCAGAUGUUCCAUGUUGAUGAAUGAUAUCGCAGAGAUUUGAAGACCACAACUGCAUAAUUGCCGCUAAAGCUUUAGGAUAUUGUAUCCAAUGGAAAAAAAGUUGAAGAUUUCGAGAAGAGCAUGAAAAGGGGCAAUGACAAGUAGCUAAAAGAAAGAACUUGAGCUCUUGCAAAAGGUAUGCUUAUGAAUUGUUAACCAUUAUGUCUUGUCCUGUGAUUGUUAUUGGCAACUAAUUACUGGUUGGUUAGUGGGAUAAAAUGUGAGAAGGAACUGAUGUCCAUUUUGGGGACUAGAAACAAGCUGAAAUCAAGAUUUUAAACACUCUCCAAGUGCUCUUCGCAAA